Non-coding RNA from Paramuricea clavata, 2706 nucleotides. Lineage: Eukaryota; Metazoa; Cnidaria; Anthozoa; Malacalcyonacea; Plexauridae. The record is from the annotation of a GenBank genome assembly.
GGAAGGACGGUGAAAAUCACAAGACAAGGUUGUUGAAGAAGCUUAGCAUAUUGGAAAGGUUAGUUUGUUCAUUUUUGUGUUGAGGUUUAUGUCUGCACUAUACAGGGUGUGUCAAAAAAAACUGAACAGAUUUAAAAUUGCUCUCAAUUUCGCAAAACACCUAUUUGUAUCUGGCUUUUUAUAUAUAUAGCUUCUUUGGGUACUUAUAAUGUAAAAUAAUGAAAAAAAUUUCUCGAACUCAAAUUUUGUGAACCAGGGGGGUGUGUCUUUUCCGACGAACUAAAAAUGGCUCGCGCACAAAAUUUAAAAGCUGCAAUCAUAUUUUGAGUUAACAGAUGAAAAAUUUGUCGGGAUUUUAAUUACGGUACAAAAUUUCAGACAAUUUGGUUUAGUUUAAGCCCCUUAACUAUUCACACAAAUUUACAAUUUUCCUGAAAAAUCAGCUAUUAUUGCAUUUGCCUAAUUUGCAUAUGUCAGCAAUAUGCAAAUUAGGUAAAGGCAUUAAUUAAGCAUGCGAAAGGCUGACUUUUUAGAGCAAAAUGAAUAGUUAAAGGGCUUAAACUAAACCAAAUUGUCUGAAAUUUUGUACAGUAAUUAAAAACCUGACAAAUUUUCAAUCUAUCAACUCAAAAUAUUAUUACAGCUUUUAAACUUUAUGCGCGAGCCAUUUUUAGUUUGUUUGAAAAGACACCCCCCCCCCUGGUUCACAAAAUUUGAGUUAGAGAAAUUUUUUUCAUUAUAUUACAUUAUAAGUACCCAAAGAAGCUAUAUAUAUAAAAAAACAGAUACAAAUAGGUGUUUUGCGAAAUUGAGAGCAAUUUCAAAUCUGUUCAGUUUUUUUUGAUACACCCUGUAGAUCAGAAAAAAUACUCCAACAAGUCUCUAUUUGCCAGAAUAAUUUCCCUAGCUUACAAUACAGGGUGUAUAAAAAAAAACUGCACAUAUUUGAAAUUUGCUCUUAAAUUUGCAAAACAGCUAUUAGUAUCCAGUGUUUGAUGUAUAUAGCUUCUUUGGGUAUGUAUAAUGUAGAAAAAUGGAAAAAAUUUCUCGAAUGCAAAUUUUGUGAACCGGGGGGAGGGGGUGUCUUUUCCAACAAACUAAAAAUGGCUUGCGCAUAAAAUUUAAAAGCUUUAAUCAUAUUUUAAGUUAAUUUUUAAUAGAUGGAAAUUUUUUGGGUGUUUAAUUACUGUACAAAAUUUCAGACAAUUUGCUUCAGUUUACGCCCUUUAACCAUUCACGCAAACUUACAUUUUUUCUCAAAAAAUCACCAUUUGCAUGCUAAUUAUGCCUUUAUGCCUUUGGCUAAUUUGCAUAUGUCAGCAAUAUGCAAAUUAGGUAAAGGCAUUCAGGGGCGUAGGAAGCACGGGGGGCACGUGCCCCCCCAAAUUUUUUUAAAGGACUAAAAGUGCCCUUUUUUGUGAUAAAAAGUGCCCUUUUUGUGUUGAAAAGUGCCCUUUUUUGUGAGGAAAAGUGCCCCUUUUGUAGAAGCUAAUGUCGCUGUAAAUACUAAAUUAAAACAAUAGGUGCCGUUUUUGUGUGGAAAUUUACAAAUUUUUUUUAAAAAUUAGGUCACAAACAUAAAUUUCGGUAUGAUACGACGGAAAAUUUUCCUCAGGAGAAAUUUCUCCCCCCCCCCCUACAAGCCGGUGCCCCCCCAAACUCCAGGUGCUUCCUACGCCCCUGAAGGCAUUACUGUCGUUCCAAUUGAAGUGUUCCUCAAAUAUUGAUUCAAUACAUUACCUCGGGCUGACCAAUUCAUUUCAUCAAGUUCCUCGAAAUAUUCAUACACUUCCUGUGAAAGAGCCAAUUCCAAGAAUUUGAUCAUUUUUGGUCACUUCCUUUCUAUUUAUGAUUGGUUAGUUGCACAAACAACAAAGGUGAUUGGUGCAUUCAAACUAUUCAACAGGAAGUUUACAAUUAUACUAGGGAGUGUAUGAAUAUUUCGAGGAACUUGAUCAUGCAAAUGAAUUGGUCAGCCCGAGGUAAUGUAUUGAUCAGAAUCAAUAUUUGAGGAACACUUCAAUUGGAACGACAGUAAUUAAGCAUGCGAAAGGCUAAUUUUUUAGAGAAAAAUGAAUAGUUAAAGGGCUUAAACUAAAGCAAAUUGUCUGUCAAAAUAUGAUUAAAGCUUUUAAAUUUUGUGUGCAAGCAAUUUUGUGUUUUAGUUUGUUGGAAAAGGCACCUGGUUUACAAAAUUUGAGUUCGAGAAAUUUUUUCCAUUUUUCUACAUUAUAAGUACCCAAAGAAGCUAUAUACAUAAAAAACUGGAUACUAAUAGCUGUUUUGCAAAUUUAAGAGCAAUUUCAAAUCUGUUCAGUUUUUUUUAUACACCCUGUAUUAUAAGCUAGAGUAUGGCAAGUACAGUAUUUAGUGUUUAGGUAAUUCUAUUGAAUAUAAAAACUUUCUCUCCUGUGUUGUAAUUGGGGUGAGGUAGACGCACCUGUUGUAAUGAACAUUAAUACUCAACAGAUUGUGAUUUAUUUUCAGCUACCGCAGUGCCUGUGUUUCCACAUCAACCGUACAUAUUGGCAGAAUAAUGGAGUGCCUUACAAAAAUAACACCUUUGUGACAUUCUCAGAAAGUCUCAAUACCGAGCCAUAUCUCUACACUAACAACAAGGUCGAUCAUAAAAUUCCAAGAAUGUCUGGGCUAUGUUCCAGUCAAGAUAUGUCCACAGAAGAACAGAGGACAACUUCUCAUAGCAGG